UUUUGAGUGGUACCAGUGGAACUGUCCAAAGUUUUCUUCGCCACAUUUAGGACAGCCGGCAUUAUUCUCCGGUCGUAGUUGGCCACAAAUAGACGAAUACGGCAUGCGGAACAGGAUAUUGGGCGUUCACUCACCCCGAAUCUGAAGAGACAACAGGUAACUGUUCUUCCCAAGCAAAGGACUGCAUCCUGCCUGACCCUCAUCCAACCCAAAGUGAAUGGAGUGAAAGAGAAACCAGGCUGCUUCUUGAUAAAUAUUCAAGCCCAUUUGAGCCGAGUGGGGCCCAUGAAAACCUUUAAGAACAAAAAAGCCAUGUGGGCAGCCAUCUCGGCGUAUAUGGCUCAUGACCUCGGCUCCCAGAAAACGGCAGAUCAGUGUCAAAACCGUUUUAAAACUAUAAAGAAACGCCAAAUGAAACGGAGAGAACACAAUGCCUCAUCAGGUGCAGAUCCUGUUUCUAUUCCUCAUGAUGAGGAAUUUCAGAAGAUCAAGUCUAUCGAUGACAGUGUGAAACCGGAACUUCUUAGAGGACUUUGGUCGAGUCGAGUUGAAAUCCUCGGCCAUUUCAAGCAGUUCGGAUGGCACUAAACCAGACAAUGCCAAGGAUACACCGCCCACGAAGAAGCAGAAGCUGAACAUUGUAUGUGAAAUUAUGGGGAAGAUACACAUGCACAAAGAAGGGCAGCGGGAACGUCGCCACAAACAGAAGUUGGAUGUUUUGCACAGUCUUCUGGCUCCUGAAAAAGAUCUUGAUGUCUAACGAUACACAUGUAAAUGUUACGACUAUGAGCCAAGACGUGCUUCUAUAUGGACAGAGACUUCCAUUACGCUUUUUGUAUUUGUAAAUAUUAAAUUUAAUGAAGUUCUUUUGC
This is a long non-coding RNA of Ixodes scapularis (black-legged tick), 872 nucleotides long. RefSeq lists it as uncharacterized. The record is from RefSeq and is a predicted model, not a curated record. The transcript has 2 exons. NCBI's taxonomy places the organism in Eukaryota, Metazoa, Arthropoda, Arachnida, Ixodida, Ixodidae.